Molecule: long non-coding RNA, 293 nt
Organism: Perognathus longimembris pacificus (Pacific pocket mouse)
Lineage: Eukaryota; Metazoa; Chordata; Mammalia; Rodentia; Heteromyidae
Exons: 3
Source: RefSeq, a predicted model, not a curated record
GACAGCACCCAGGCCCUGUGUUUAAGCCCCAAGGCAGGCACAUUAAAAAAAAUAUAAUAAUGGAAGAAAGGAGGCAAUAUAGUAUGAAAGCCAUCUGGAGUCAACAGCAAUGACAUUUUCUAGCCAUGUACCUAGUUCUGUGCAGAGGGGGGAAUAAUAACACAUGGGUCAUUGAGGACUUGAGUGAGAUAGCUGGGAAGCUUUUAGGUCUAUGUCUGCUGGAUGUCAGACCUCAAAAAAUGUGAGUAAGUGUGAAUAAACCCCAUGUGAUAAAUAUUCAGUAUUGUUGGAGA